AUACGGGGGAUGCAAGCGUUAUCCGGAAUCAUUGGGCGUAAAGCGCCUGUAGGUUGUUUACAAAGUCUGUUGUUAAAGACUAGGGCUUAACCCUAGAAAAGCGAUGGAAACUUGUAGACUAGAGUAUGGCAGGGGUAGAGGGAAUUUCUAGUGUAGCGGUGAAAUGCGUAGAUAUUAGAAAGAACACCAGUGGCGAAAGCGCUCUACUAGACCAUUACUGACACUCAGAGGCGAAAGCUAGGGUAGCAAAAGGGAUUAGAAACCCUAGUAGUCC
RNAcentral lists this ribosomal RNA (274 nucleotides) under uncultured bacterium. RNAcentral describes it as "partial 16S ribosomal RNA". It matches the Rfam family "Bacterial small subunit ribosomal RNA", at positions 523 to 796 of the family's 1533-position model. The record is from RNAcentral.